This 174-nucleotide unclassified non-coding RNA is filed under the name uncultured Ascomycota. RNAcentral describes it as "sequence contains ITS1". Lineage: Eukaryota; Fungi; Ascomycota. The record is from RNAcentral.
ACGAGUGCGGGCCUUCUAGGUCCAACCUCCCACCCGUGUUUAUUAUACCUUGUUGCUUCGGCGGGCCCGCCGUACGGCCGCCCGGGGGCAGUAGCCCCCGGGCCCGCGCCCGCCGGAGACACCUAUGAACUCUGUGUGAAGAUUGCAGUCUGAGCGAUUAGCUAAAAUCGGUUA